UCCCCGGUAGCUCAAACUGUAAAGAAUCUGCCUGCAAUGCAGAGGACUCAGGUUCAAUCCCUGGAUUGGGAA
This 72-nucleotide transfer RNA is filed under the name Bos taurus (domestic cattle). It matches the Rfam family "tRNA". From Rfam's summary of the family: Transfer RNA (tRNA) molecules are approximately 80 nucleotides in length. The record is from Rfam by way of RNAcentral. RNAcentral also lists the same sequence under 4 other names. Lineage: Eukaryota; Metazoa; Chordata; Mammalia; Artiodactyla; Bovidae.